GUUUCACUAUGUUGGCCAGGCUGGUCUCAAACCCCUGAUUUUGUGAUUCACCCGCUUCGGCCUCUGAAAGUGCUGGGAUUACAGGUGUGAGCCACCGUGCCCAGCCUCUACCUGUGUUUUUCUUACUCAGAUGGGACACAAAGCCUCAGAUCAUCAGAAAGCUGGAAGCAAUGGUUGCUUUUCUGACUCUUGGAAUAUCAGAGCUGGCUUAGAACCUUCUCUCCUCUCACUCUGUCUUUACAGAUGAGGGAAUGUGGGCCCCUUAGGGAAGUGACUCAUCCCAGGGCCCAAGUUCCAGCUCAAGUUCUGAAAAUAUUUUCUGAGUACGUUUGCCUCUUCCUGCUCACCUUGCCACGUGAUCCUGUGAGUCUGAGCAAAUCAGUGGCGAUUGAUGGGUGGACAGUGUGGGGCUGAGACAGUGGUCAGAGAUGAGAGAGGAGAAGGAACGAGACUCCCUCCACAGUGCUCCUCAAUCAUGUCCUGGAGAUGAGCUUGUUGUUUUGUCUCACACCUCUUAAAAAAAAAAAAAAAAAAAAAAAAAAAAAAAAAAAAACAGAGGACAGGAGUGUGGAUUCCCAUUGACCAAGGCUGUCUGGUAGAGGACUGUUUCUCAGGGUUGAGCCUUGCCCUAGCCAGGUUGGACCUAGCUGCUCCCUCCUCUCUGCUCCGUAGAACGCUGGACAUCGAUUGUAGCACCUGUCAUGUCACAUUUUUCUCUGAUGUACUGUUCAUUUUUCUUGUAAAUACAAAAGUGAUACACGCUUAUUGUAGAAAAUUUGGAAAAUACAGACAUGUAUGAAUGAUGAAAUAAAGGUCUCCUGUAAUUGCCCACCUAGUAAUAACCA
Molecule: non-coding RNA, 845 nt
Organism: Macaca mulatta (Rhesus monkey)
Lineage: Eukaryota; Metazoa; Chordata; Mammalia; Primates; Cercopithecidae
Source: RefSeq, a predicted model, not a curated record